UUUUUGGUAAAAUGAUUAAAAAAAAAAGACUGAAGCUAAAAUUCAUCUUUUUGUUCUUGAUCAUUCAUGUUAUCUUCAAAGUCAAUAACAUGGUCAACGUAAAUGAUCGACGUUGAGAUUUCAGCUUUUCUGAAUUUUACUAUUCUAAUGUUUCAAUAUAAUUUGAAUAUUCUCUUUGUUUUAUAAUAUAUAAUAGUUUAAAAGUAUUUUUUGUUUCACUAUAUAAAUUGUUUUUAUAUUUUAAUGUAACUUUAUAUUUAUUGGAUACUGUGUGGCCAAUUAAAUUAUGUAAAUUAUUGUGUAAUUGAUUAAAUUUAUAUAUUAAAAACAGUUUUAUAAAGUAAUAACUUUUAAAUAUUACAGAUUUUAAUUAAAAUUGAUUACAUUUUGAAACAGAUAGAGUAAUCUAUAAACUAACUCUAUAAAGAUAUGAGGACAAAAUUGUAAAGUGAUCUCAUUUUGUAUUUCUCUCAUUCUGUGCAUUCCUAAUUGGGAGGAGAUAAUCAACAUCUAAUUUUAUGUUACUCUCAGUAUAUUAGAAAUGGUCGAACCAUAAACCAAUUAAGGAUGAUGUAAGGAAGACAUAAAGAUGUAUUUCCAGUUAUCACAAAUAUAGAAUCAAUUGACAACAACUUAAUUAUGUCCAGCGUAGGACAACAUAGAAGAGUUUCCAUACCUUUUAAUAUUAUAAUAUCUCACUAUAUUAGUGGUUAAAUCAGUUUUCUCUAACACAAAUAUUCACUCAAUUCUUAGAGUUUAAGCUUUUCUAUCUGAUGAUAUUAGAAGUUUGAUCCAAAAAAAAAAAAGAAACGGUCGAACCGUUCAUUAUAAUUGGAGAAAGAAAACAAAAAAAAAUCAAACGAAGACUUUUAAGGUAUAUGAAACAAAAAUUGGAAAUAUCAGUUCUCUGCAAUUAAAGAAUAAUGCAAUAAAAUUGUAAAAAUACAAAAUAAAACAAAAAAAUACACAAAAAGAAAGAUUUAGUAAAAUAAAAUCAUAAUAUAAUUUCCAUAAUUGAUAGUGCUCAACUACACUAAAAAGUCUAAAUUUACAACAUACACAGUUUUAUUUACAUCUUUAAACCUAUUAUCUAAUUAAAAAGAUUCUAAAAAAAGUGCCAACACGAAGAGUUAAAAAAUAUACUAUAAAAUAUAAUACAUAACGUUAAAAGUACAUUAUCACUGAUCACUAAAAAAUCAUGUUAGUAGUAAUAAAAAUGAAAUGACAAUACAUUUAUUAAAACCAUAGAACGACAUGCAAUAAGGUGUUAUUAAAUAUACAAAUUACAAAUUAAUAUGCUCAACG
This 1305-nucleotide long non-coding RNA is filed under the name Brassica rapa (field mustard). RNAcentral's name for it is "long non-coding RNA (BRAP_LNC006745)". The record is from RNAcentral. Lineage: Eukaryota; Viridiplantae; Streptophyta; Magnoliopsida; Brassicales; Brassicaceae.